AGGUCAGCGCGGCGGUCGAGGUCAGCGAUAAAAAUAAAUUCGUCCGGGAGCGGCCUUGCCAACCGUAUAUUCCACCAAUGAAAACUGCGCUACAGCGAUGGUGCCGAGCCGCGAAAUUCGUCUGCGCACCAUGGCUGAAACGAAGUAGGGAUAUGCGACAGCGAAAUAUUAGUCUUAAUCGAGGAGGUUACCAAGGAGAAGAAGAGGCUUUACCAGAAAAAGAAAAAAUGAAAUAAGAAAGAAAUGAAGCAAUUUAAAAUCUUCCACAAUUUCAUCUCGCAGUCGUCAAAAACAUCCACCAACGGGCGGGGGCAACCACCAGAAACAGUACAAGUGAUAAACAGAGAAAGUGAUAAAUAUUUUAGAUGAUUGCAGACAACUGAUGGACGGCAUAAACAUCGAAGAUAAAACACACCAAGGUGAUGUACAAGCAGCCAGUAUUCCAUCUGUCAACUGAGUCAUCUGAAGAAAACAAAAUACCUGAUGAUACAAAAGAAUCCACAACAAAGAUUAAA
Molecule: long non-coding RNA, 515 nt
Organism: Pomacea canaliculata
Lineage: Eukaryota; Metazoa; Mollusca; Gastropoda; Architaenioglossa; Ampullariidae
Exons: 2
Source: RefSeq, a predicted model, not a curated record